GAUGAACGCUGGCGGCGUGCCUAAUACAUGCAAGUCGAGCGAACGGACGAGAAGCUUGCUUCUCUGAUGUUAGCGGCGGACGGGUGAGUAACACGUGGAUAACCUACCUAUAAGACUGGGAUAACUUCGGGAAACCGGAGCUAAUACCGGAUGAUAUUUUGAACCGCAUGGUUCAAAAGUGAAAGACGGUCUUGCUGUCACUUAUAGAUGGAUCCGCGCUGCAUUAGCUAGUUGGUAAGGUAACGGCUUACCAAGGCAACGAUGCAUAGCCGACCUGAGAGGGUGAUCGGCCAAACUGGAACUGAGACACGGUCCAGACUCCUACGGGAGGCAGCAGUAGGGAAUCUUCCGCAAUGGGCGAAAGCCUGACGGAGCAACGCCGCGUGAGUGAUGAAGGUCUUCGGAUCGUAAAACUCUGUUAUUAGGGAAGAACAUAUGUGUAAGUAACUGUGCACAUCUUGACGGUACCUAAUCAGAAAGCCACGGCUAACUACGUG
Molecule: ribosomal RNA, 497 nt
Filed under: uncultured bacterium
Lineage: Bacteria
Description: partial 16S ribosomal RNA
Rfam family: Bacterial small subunit ribosomal RNA
Source: RNAcentral